RNAcentral lists this ribosomal RNA (253 nucleotides) under uncultured bacterium. RNAcentral's name for it is "partial 16S ribosomal RNA". It matches the Rfam family "Bacterial small subunit ribosomal RNA", at positions 524 to 776 of the family's 1533-position model. The record is from RNAcentral.
UACGAAGGGGGCUAGCGUUGCUCGGAAUUACUGGGCGUAAAGGGCGCGUAGGCGGCCUGUUAAGUCGGACGUGAAAUCCCCGGGCUCAACCCGGGAACUGCGUCCGAUACUGGCAGGCUUGAAUCCGGGAGAGGGAUGUGGAAUUCCAGGUGUAGCGGUGAAAUGCGUAGAUAUCUGGAGGAACACCGGUGGCGAAGGCGGCAUCCUGGACCGGCAUUGACGCUGAGGCGCGAAAGCCAGGGAAGCAAACGGG